Molecule: ribosomal RNA, 1351 nt
Filed under: uncultured marine eukaryote
Lineage: Eukaryota
Description: SSU rRNA
Rfam family: Eukaryotic small subunit ribosomal RNA
Source: RNAcentral
CACUUCUAAGGAAGGCAGCAGGCGCGCAAAUUACCCAAUCCUGACUCAGGGAGGUAGUGACGAGAAAUAACAAUAAACCGGCUUAUGCCGGUUUAAUUGGAAUGAGUACAAUUUAAACAUCUUAACGAGGAACAAUUGGAGGGCAAGUCUGGUGCCAGCAGCCGCGGUAAUUCCAGCUCCAAUAGCGUAUACUAAAGUUGUUGCAGUUAAAAAGCUCGUAGUUGGAUUUCUGUGGGGACGGAGUGGCCGGCCGCAACACGCGGUUCGAGCUAGCGCUUUCCCUACAUCCUGCCGCGAACCGUGCUACCAUUAGUUUGGUGGCGCCGGGGAUCGGCUCGAUUACUUUGAGAAAAAUAGAGUGUUCAAAGCAGGCCACACGCCUUGAAUAAGUUAGCAUGGAAUAAUAACUAAGGACUUCGGUUCUAUUUUGUUGGUGUUCGGGACUGAAGUAAUGAUUGAUAGGGACAGUUGGGGCGGUCUGUAUUCCAAAGCGAGAGGUGAAAUUCUUAGACCUUCGGAAGACAAACAGCUGCGAAAGCGUUCCGCAAGGAUGUUCCCUUUGAUCAAGAACGAAAGUUGGGGGAUCGAAGACGAUCAGAUACCGUCGUAGUCUCAACUAUAAACUAUACCAGCUAGGGAUCGGCCAACGUUAUUCUAUACCGACUUGGUCGGCACCUUAUGAGAAAUCAAAGCAUCUGGGUUCCGGGGGGAGUAUGGUCGCAAGGCUGAAACUUAAAGGAAUUGACGGAAGGGCACCACCAGCCGUGGAGCCUGUGGCUUAAUUUGACUCAACACGGGAAAACUUACCAGGUCCAGACAUAGUAAGGAUUGACAGAUUGAUAGCUCUUUCUUGAUUCUGUGGGUGGUGGUGCAUGGCCGCUCUUAGUUGGUGGAGUGAUUUGUCUGGUUAAUUCCGUUAACGAACGAGACCCCAGCCUGCUAAAUAGCGCGUGUGAGCUUUGCUCGCAGCGAGCUUCUUAGAGGGACUAUGAUGCGCGAUAGCACAUGGAAGUUUGGGGCAAUAACAGGUCUGUGAUGCCCUUAGAUGUUCUGGGCCGCACACGGGCUACACUGGCGCCUGCAACGAGCAUAUCAGCUGGCCCGAGAGGGUCUUGGCUAAUCUUUUGAACCGGCGCCGUGCUUGGGAUUGACCUUUGCAAUUGUUGGUCAUGCAACGAGGAAUGCCUUGUAAACGCGAGUCAUCAGCUCGCAUUGAAUACGUCCCUGCCCUUUGUACACACCGCCCGUCGCUCCUACCGAUGAAUGUUCCGAUGAAAUUUUCGGAGAGUGCCUGUGAACUUGGUUCUGCCUUGCGAACGGGAAGCUCAAAGUCACUUAAAUCUGAACAUUU